This 393-nucleotide ribosomal RNA is filed under the name uncultured bacterium. Its description in RNAcentral is "partial 16S ribosomal RNA". It matches the Rfam family "Bacterial small subunit ribosomal RNA", at positions 523 to 918 of the family's 1533-position model. The record is from RNAcentral.
AUACGGAGGAUCCGAGCGUUAUCCGGAUUUAUUGGGUUUAAAGGGAGCGUAGGUGGAUAGUUAAGUCAGCUGUGAAAGUUUGGGGCUCAACCUUAAAAUUGCAGUUGAUACUGGUUUCCUUGAGUACGGUACAGGUGGGCGGAAUUCGUGGUGUAGCGGUGAAAUGCUUAGAUAUCACGAAGAACUCCGAUCGCGAAGGCAGCUCACCGGGCCGGAACUGACACUGAUGCUCGAAAGUGCGGGUAUCAAACAGGAUUAGAUACCCUGGUAGUCCGCACAGUAAACGAUGAAUACUCGCUGUUUGCGAUACACGGUAAGCGGCCAAGCGAAAGCGUUAAGUAUUCCACCUGGGGAGUACGCCGGCAACGGUGAAACUCAAAUGAAUUGACGGGG